UCUCCGUUGGUGAACCAGCGGAGGGAUCAUUACUGGAAUCGCAAGAUCCCACAACCCUGUGAACCUACCGAAACGUUGCCUCGGCGGGUGCCCGGCCCCCGCGCCGGGCGCUGCUCCCGCCGGCGGCCCCCUACUCUGUCUCUGCAGCGUGGCAUCUCAGAGUCCCAGAAAACAAGUCAAAACUUUCAACAACGGAUCUCUUGGCUCUA
Molecule: unclassified non-coding RNA, 209 nt
Filed under: plant metagenome
Description: partial contains small subunit ribosomal RNA, internal transcribed spacer 1, and 5.8S ribosomal RNA
Source: RNAcentral